This 497-nucleotide ribosomal RNA is filed under the name uncultured bacterium. RNAcentral describes it as "partial 16S ribosomal RNA". It matches the Rfam family "Bacterial small subunit ribosomal RNA", at positions 28 to 507 of the family's 1533-position model. The record is from RNAcentral.
GAUGAACGCUGGCGGCGUGCCUAAUACAUGCCAGUCGAGCGAACAGACGGGGAGCUUGCUCCUCUGACGUUAGCGGCGGACGGGUGAGUAACACGUGGAUCACCUACCUAUAAGACUGGGAUAACUUCGGGAAACCGGAGCUAAUACCGGAUAAUAUAUUGAACCGCAUGGUUCAAUAGUGAAAGACGGUUUUGCUGUCACUUAUAGAUGGAUCCGCGCCGCAUUAGCUAGUUGGUAAGGUAACGGCUUACCAAGGCAACGAUGCGUAGCCGACCUGAGAGGGUGAUCGGCCACACUGGAACUGAGACACGGUCCAGACUCCUACGGGAGGCAGCAGUAGGGAAUCUUCGGCAAUGGGCGAAAGCCUGACGGAGCAACGCCGCGUGAGUGAUGAAGGCCUUCGGAUCGUAAAACUCUGUUAUUAGGGAAGAACAAAUGUGUGAGUAACUAUGCACGUCUUGACGGUACCUAAUCAGAAAGCCACGGCUAACUACGUG